Molecule: ribosomal RNA, 426 nt
Filed under: uncultured bacterium
Lineage: Bacteria
Description: bacterial SSU rRNA
Rfam family: Bacterial small subunit ribosomal RNA
Source: RNAcentral
GGGGAAUUUUGCACAAUGGAGGAAACUCUGAUGCAGCAACGCCGCGUGAGUGAUGAAGGCCUUUGGGUUGUAAAGCUCUUUCGGUUGAGAAGAAGGGUGAUAUGGCUAAUAUCCAUGUCAUUUGACGGUAUCAAAAGAAGAAGCACCUGCUAACUUCGUGCCAGCAGCAGCGGUAAUACGAAGGGUGCAAGCGUUGUUCGGAAUUACUGGGCGUAAAGGGCGCGUAGGCUGGUUUGUAAGUCUAAUGUGAAAUCCCCGGGCUUAACCCGGGACGUGCAUUGGAGACUGCAGAUCUUGAAUGCUUGAGAGGGUGGUGGAAUUCCAGGAGUAGAAGUGAAAUUCGUAGAUAUCUGGAGGAACACCGGAGGCGAAGGCGGCCACCUGGCAAGACAUUGACGCUGAGGCGCGAAAGUGCGGGGAGCAAAC